ACCCAGCUGAUGAGUUCUAAGUAGGACGAAACGCGCAUCCUGUAU
RNAcentral lists this non-coding RNA (45 nucleotides) under Schistosoma mattheei. Lineage: Eukaryota; Metazoa; Platyhelminthes; Trematoda; Strigeidida; Schistosomatidae. The record is from RNAcentral.